RNAcentral lists this transfer RNA (65 nucleotides) under Limois sp. WW-2021a. RNAcentral's name for it is "tRNA-Met". Lineage: Eukaryota; Metazoa; Arthropoda; Insecta; Hemiptera; Fulgoridae. The record is from RNAcentral.
AAAAAGAUAAGCUAAAUAUAAAGCUUAUGGGUUCAUACCCCAUCGAUGAAUAAAUUCUCUUUUUA